Molecule: unclassified non-coding RNA, 264 nt
Filed under: rhizosphere metagenome
Description: partial ribosomal RNA internal transcribed spacer region
Source: RNAcentral
GUAGGUGAACCUGCGGAAGGAUCAUUAUUGAAAUAAAGGCUGUUGCUGGUCCUCACUGAGGACAUGUGCACGCUUGUUGUUAUUUUUCCAACUGUGCACAUAUUGUAGACCUGGAAGUCUUUUAUUGUUGGGAUAGAUUGAGGACUGCCAAUGCGGCUUUGCCCUGUAUUUCCAGGUCUAUGUUGUAAUACAAACGAAUGAAUGUCGAGUACUGGAAAAUAUGAAAUAAUAAUACAACUUUCAGCAACGGAUCUCUUGGCUCUC